This 641-nucleotide ribosomal RNA is filed under the name Chaetogammarus obtusatus. RNAcentral's name for it is "bacterial SSU rRNA". It matches the Rfam family "Eukaryotic small subunit ribosomal RNA", at positions 4 to 573 of the family's 1831-position model. Lineage: Eukaryota; Metazoa; Arthropoda; Malacostraca; Amphipoda; Gammaridae. The record is from RNAcentral.
CUGGUUGAUCCUGCCAGUAGUCAUAUGCUUGUCUCAAAGAUUAAGCCAUGCAUGUCUAAGUCCAAGCUGUGUUCACACGGCGAGACCGCGGACGGCUCAUUAAAUCAGUCGUGGUCCAAAUGGGCCAGUGCAAAUCCUACUUGGAUAACUGUGGUAAUUCCAGAGCUAAUACAUGCAACUGAUGUCCCGAAGGCUGGUGCUUGCUUGCCUUGCGCUCUGCCCGACGGAUGCUUUUAUUAGACCAAACCGCUGAGGACUUGGGGGUUCGCGCCCACUUGUUCGACUCGUGUAAUGGUGACUCUGGAUAACCAAUUGACAAGCGCACGUACUCCUCUUCUGAGCGGGACGGCGCUGCCACUUUCGAGUGUCUGCCUUAUCAGCUAUCAACCGUUCGUUAUGCGCGACCGAUGGCUUUGACGGGUAACGGGGAAUCAGGGUUCGAUUCCGGAGAGGCAGCCUGAGAGACGGCUACCACGUCCAAGGACGGCAGCAGGCACGCAAAUUACCCAAUCCCAGCAAAUGGGGGAGGUAGUGACGAAAUCUAACGAUGCGGGCGCCCUUUCUGGGGCCCCGCAAUCGGAAUGGGCACUUUCUAAACAACCUGUUGAGAACCUACUGAAGGGCAAGUCUGGUGCCAGCAG